UUUACGAAGCUAUUGCAAUGAACCUCAAAUUUUUUAUUAGAACGAGCCAUGAUACAGCAUUAAAUGACAAAAUACAUCACAAUAAAGAAACAUGACAAAAUCCAAUAAACCACAGAUCCAAGGAAUAGAGGAGUCCAUGAUUCCAUUCAGUGAAGUGAUGAUGAAAAAAAAAAAUGACAGUUUAAUCAGAGGACACAAUUUUACAGGUACUGAUAGUAUAAAGAUCAUGAACAGUUGGACUAUAUAAGGACAGAUAACCACUCACACCCAAACCCACCCCACAAGGGGGAAUGAAGCCACAAUCACAUGAAGUUUCAAUUUUUAUCAAUUAUUCAAAGCAGGCAAUGGACAUCAAAACUGCUACUCAAGUACCUGCCCAAUAUCCCAAGGCCAUCA
This 396-nucleotide unclassified non-coding RNA is filed under the name Hevea brasiliensis (rubber tree). The record is from RNAcentral. Lineage: Eukaryota; Viridiplantae; Streptophyta; Magnoliopsida; Malpighiales; Euphorbiaceae.